GACGAACGCUGGCGGCGUGCCUAAUACAUGCAAGUAGAACGCUGAAGGGAGAGCUUGCUCUUCUGGAUGAGUUGCGAACGGGUGAGUAACGCGUAGGUAACCUGCCUGGUAGCGGGGGAUAACUAUUGGAAACGAUAGCUAAUACCGCACAACAUUGACUAUUGCAUGAUAGUCAAUUGAAAGGUGCAAAUGCACCACUACCAGAUGGACCUGCGUUGUAUUAGCUAGUUGGUGGGGUAACGGCUCACCAAGGCGACGAUACAUAGCCGACCUGAGAGGGUGAUCGGCCACACUGGGACUGAGACACGGCCCAGACUCCUACGGGAGGCAGCAGUAGGGAAUCUUCGGCAAUGGACGGAAGUCUGACCGAGCAACGCCGCGUGAGUGAAGAAGGUUUUCGGAUCGUAAAGCUCUGUUGUAAGAGAAGAACGAGUGUGAGAGUGGAAAGUUCACACUGUGACGGUAUCUUACCAGAAAGGA
This 480-nucleotide ribosomal RNA is filed under the name Streptococcus cristatus. Its description in RNAcentral is "bacterial SSU rRNA". It matches the Rfam family "Bacterial small subunit ribosomal RNA", at positions 28 to 492 of the family's 1533-position model. Lineage: Bacteria; Bacillati; Bacillota; Bacilli; Lactobacillales; Streptococcaceae. The record is from RNAcentral.